This 425-nucleotide ribosomal RNA is filed under the name uncultured bacterium. Its description in RNAcentral is "bacterial SSU rRNA". It matches the Rfam family "Bacterial small subunit ribosomal RNA", at positions 359 to 776 of the family's 1533-position model. The record is from RNAcentral.
GAAUAUUGGACAAUGGGGGAAACCCUGAUCCAGCAAUGCCGCGUGUGUGAAGAAGGCCUGCGGGUUGUAAAGCACUUUCAGUAGAGAAGAAUUUCUGGGGACUAAUAUUCCUCAGGCUUGCCUUAACCUACAGAAGAAGCACCGGCUAACUCCGUGCCAGCAGCCGCGGUAAUACGGAGGGUGCGAGCGUUAAUCGGAAUUACUGGGCGUAAAGCGCACGUAGGCGGCUUUGUAAGUCGGUUGUGAAAUCCCCGGGCUUAACCUGGGAAUUGCAGCCGAUACUGCAUGGCUGGAGUAUGGUAGAGGGUAGUGGAAUUCCGGGUGUAGCGGUGAAAUGCGUAGAUAUCCGGAGGAACACCAGUGGCGAAGGCGGCUACCUGGACCAAUACUGACGCUGAGGUGCGAAAGCGUGGGGAGCAAACAGG